This 68-nucleotide transfer RNA is filed under the name Pristurus rupestris rupestris. Its description in RNAcentral is "tRNA-Arg". Lineage: Eukaryota; Metazoa; Chordata; Lepidosauria; Squamata; Sphaerodactylidae. The record is from RNAcentral.
AGGCCGCUCGUCUAACCAAGACCUUUGAUUUCGACUCAAAAAAUCCCGGACACCACUGGGGCAACCUA